RNAcentral lists this transfer RNA (77 nucleotides) under Rhizobium phage RHph_I1_6. RNAcentral describes it as "tRNA-Pro". It matches the Rfam family "tRNA". Rfam says of the family: Transfer RNA (tRNA) molecules are approximately 80 nucleotides in length. Their secondary structure includes four short double-helical elements and three loops (D, anti-codon, and T loops). The record is from RNAcentral. Lineage: Duplodnaviria; Heunggongvirae; Uroviricota; Caudoviricetes; Schitoviridae.
CGGAGUGUAGCGCAGUCUGGUAGCGCAUCUGCUUUGGGAGCAGAGGGUCACAGGUUCAAAUCCUGUCACUCCGACCA